This 462-nucleotide ribosomal RNA is filed under the name uncultured bacterium. Its description in RNAcentral is "partial 16S ribosomal RNA". It matches the Rfam family "Bacterial small subunit ribosomal RNA", at positions 28 to 507 of the family's 1533-position model. The record is from RNAcentral.
GAUAAACGCUGGCGGCGUGCUUAACACAUGCAAGUCGAACGAAGUUUUUCCUUCGGGAGAUACUUAGUGGCGGACGGGUGAGUAACGCGUGGGUAACCUGCCCUGUACAGGGGGACAACAGCUGGAAACGGCUGCUAAUACCGCAUAAGCCCUUAGCACUGCAUGGUGCAUAGGGAAAAGGAGCAAUCCGGUACAGGAUGGACCCGCGUCUGAUUAGCCAGUUGGCAGGGUAACGGCCUACCAAAGCGACGAUCAGUAGCCGAUCUGAGAGGAUGUACGGCCACAUUGGGACUGAGACACGGCCCAGACUCCUACGGGAGGCAGCAGUGGGGAAUAUUGCACAAUGGAGGAAACUCUGAUGCAGCGACGCCGCGUGAGUGAAGAAGUAUUUCGGUAUGUAAAGCUCUAUCAGCAGGGAAGAAAAUGACGGUACCUGACUAAGAAGCACCGGCUAAAUACGUG